GCAGGUGGAGAGGCGGUUACCCCUCCGCCGCGGGUGCACGGUUGGGAAGGUGCAGGGGGAGGGGGCGGAGGGGAUAAAGAUGGAGUAGCGGUCGGAAGCAACGCGGGUGUCGAUGGUGAGAUAGUCAGAUAGGGCAACCAAGAUGAGCCGCAGUCGUGCCGUGGACGGAAGGUUCAAGUAGGCGGUACCCGCUGAGUAGGAGCCGAAGGAUGUAGUCUUACCACGUGGUAGACUAUCUCUUCACGUAAACGAAGUUGGAGUUGUUCCUCCCCACGUACCUCCGGGACCUCUUCGUACGGUUCUAGUUGGGCCAGCAGUGACGGUGACACACCUUUCUCGACCUCUUCCUCUUGUUCCUCAAGAAGCUCAGAAUGUUGUCCCUGGCGCACCUCGCCUUGUAGCUCCGCCGCUGCUACCUCGCCUAGGUCUUCUACGAGAGGCUGCGCCGACGGAGGUUCUGGAGGCUGCUGCUGCUCCCGAUCUUCCGACGACGAAUACAGGUUCGAGUACGCGUACGUAGUGGAAGGUCGAUUAAUUAACAUACUUAUAGUACAGAAGGCAAUUAACCUAGGUAAUACAGAUCCUCCUAGCUUAAAUAAUUAACGUGGAUCGAGUAUUGUCUGGCCAUCGAACUUUGGUACGUACGUACGUCAUGCUAGCUGAUGUUCCUGACCGUUCGUUCGUAAAAUCACAAACACACCUGCACAUGUAUAUGUUUAGUGACGUACCUUAUAAGUUCUCCUGGGAUGCAUGCCGGGGCCCAGAAGUCCACGGUCGAGAUUAGAAUAGUGACGACUAGGAAAGCGCUGGUGCACCGUUGCUCAUUCUCAUAUACGCGGUCACCACCGCAGAUGUGCGGCUAGCUAGUAAAUAAAUAAAAAACAGUACCAAGCUUUUUAUAUAUGUUUUUCCAAUAAGAGGUGUACUAAGUCUCAUUCUUUGCCUUUUUCUAUCCGACGUAUAUAUCUCUUACUUGACAGAGAAUUAACAGAAAUUUGCUUCUCGGUCGGGAUUCUCUGCUCUCGUC
This 1027-nucleotide ribosomal RNA is filed under the name Triticum aestivum (bread wheat). RNAcentral's name for it is "partial small subunit ribosomal RNA". Lineage: Eukaryota; Viridiplantae; Streptophyta; Magnoliopsida; Poales; Poaceae. The record is from RNAcentral.